This 490-nucleotide ribosomal RNA is filed under the name uncultured bacterium. RNAcentral describes it as "partial 16S ribosomal RNA". It matches the Rfam family "Bacterial small subunit ribosomal RNA", at positions 1017 to 1501 of the family's 1533-position model. The record is from RNAcentral.
UAGCAAUACGACCAGAAGACAGGUGCUGCAUAGCUGUCGUCAGCUCGUGUGGUGACAUGUUGGGUUAAUACCCGCAACGAGGCGCAACCCCUUGUCCUUAGCUGCCAGCAUUAAGUUGGGCUCUCUAAGGAGGACUGCCGUGGUUAACACCGAGGAAGGUGGGGAUGACGUCAAGUCCUCAUGGCCUUUAUAUCCAGGGCGACACACGUGAUACAAUGGUCGGUACAGAAGGGAGCGAAAGGGCGACCUGGAGCUAAUCUCAAAAAGCCGAUCUCAGUUCGGAUUGGAGUCUGCAACUCGACUCCAUGAAGNNGGAAUCGUUNGUAAUCNCGGAUCAGCACGNCGCNGUGAAUACGUUNNNCGGGCCUUGUACACACCGCGCGUNACACCAUGGGAGCUGACUCAACCAGAAGACGCUCAAUCUAACCGCAAGGAAUUCCUCCGGCGAAGGUGGGGUUGGUGACUGGGGUGAAGUCGUAACAAGGUAGCC